GAUGAACGCUGACAGAAUGCUUAACACAUGCAAGUCAACUUGAACUUCGGUUUGGGUGGCGGACGGGUGAGUAACGCGUAAAGAACUUGCCUCACAGCUAGGGACAACAUUUGGAAACGAAUGCUAAUACCUGAUAUUAUGAUUAUAUGGCAUCGUAUAAUUAUGAAAGCUAUAUGCGCUGUGAGAGAGCUUUGCGUCCCAUUAGCUAGUUGGAGAGGUAACAGCUCACCAAGGCGAUGAUGGGUAGCCGGCCUGAGAGGGUGAUCGGCCACAAGGGGAACGAAACCACGCCCCUACCCCCUCCGGAGGGAGGAGGUGGGAAAUAUGGGAAAAGGACCGGGGAGCCUGAUCAAGCAUUCCUGGGUGAACAAUGAGGUUUUUGGAAAGGAAAGGUGCUUCCGGUUGGAAAGAAAAAAUGACGGUACCAACAGAAGAAGUGACGGCUAAAUACGUG
This 454-nucleotide ribosomal RNA is filed under the name uncultured bacterium. RNAcentral describes it as "partial 16S ribosomal RNA". It matches the Rfam family "Bacterial small subunit ribosomal RNA", at positions 28 to 507 of the family's 1533-position model. The record is from RNAcentral.